CUAUUAAAUGGAUUUCAACAUCACCAUAAAUGAUGACUUAGAAAAAACAAAAACAAAACGUUAACCUUCUUUAAAACCCACACGUUUCCCUCUUGAAAUACUCUCACAGUCGUGACUCUCUCUCUCUCUCUCCCUAAAUAUUUCCAAUCGAAACUCAAUCGGAAUCUUAAACCCUAAAUCCACUGUAUCAUGAAACCACCGCUUGCUGUAGAUUCAACCUUAUUCGUCUAAACUCAACUAUUCCUAAUAGACCGAAACAAUAUACAGUUUCCAGUGAUAUGGUGGAUAACAAAGUGUACAUAUCAUUUAUAAAAAAAACAUGUGGCUCAAUGAAAACUAAAUGAAGUAAAGCUCAUCGAAAAAAUGGAGUUUUCGACGAUAGUACCGGCGAUGCGACCGACCUCGAGGUAUGUUAUUUCUUUUUAUUUUCUUCCUUUGGUGUCGCUCUUCCUCGUUUUCGGUCCGACUCUGACUUUCUCCUUUACCUGUUUGUCAUUUCCUUUUGCACGCGAUUGAGGGGGUCAAGCUCUUCAAACCCUGAUUUUCAGUGUGAAAACCAGAGCUGAAAUACUGAGUUUUCGCGGAGCUUUUCGGUGUGAGGUUUGUUUGGGAUUUCAGCAGAGUGACGGUGCAAGAAGGGAGAGAUCUUUCAAUGAAUGAGCGCCCCCUUUUUAUAGGGUUCAGUACGAGGCCUUUCCAAUAUUCUCCUCUACGAGCUAACGGGCGGAUCCAAGAAUAAAAUUCGUUAGGGAAGAUCUUCUCCCGGAUUUCAUGUGGUCCUCAAGAUGUAUGUGAUAAGAAAGAAAUUCGAUUGUGGUCCCCUAAAUCUCUAAAUGCGUGGCCAUCUCCACCAAAUCUCCCGUCAAGUUUUUACAGUUGUGAAACCUUCAACUUUUAAGGUAGUCUCGGAACCAUGUGCGAAACCCAAUUCCACAUCUAUGCAUUGUUUCAACACCGACGAUGAUAGGCAUCCUGCAACAGGUUUUUGGACAACCUCUUCCUGCAUUCCCAAUAUUUCACUAUGACUUUUGGAUCCACGAUUCUGUGAGUUGUCGCCUCCUACUAGAAAGCGUUCGAAAGGUUCUUUGAAGUCUUCCUGGUAUCUCAUGCUUGGAACCGAAAUCCGUCAGAAUUAACUAGGGCCAUUUGUAUGACUAUGUACUGGUUUUGAGUAUGGAUGUAAUGCUUGUAAAGAAAUUGACUUAGUAUGUCAAAACAAUGAUGCCAUCGAUUUAUGCUUGUAAUGUGACAGUGUGUCUGGUUUUGGUUUUGGUAUCGUAUUACUUUGCUGCUAUUGCCAUA
Long non-coding RNA from Lathyrus oleraceus (garden pea), 1302 nucleotides. RefSeq lists it as uncharacterized. Lineage: Eukaryota; Viridiplantae; Streptophyta; Magnoliopsida; Fabales; Fabaceae. The transcript is spliced from 3 exons. The record is from RefSeq and is a predicted model, not a curated record.